This is a long non-coding RNA of Momordica charantia (bitter melon), 1241 nucleotides long. RefSeq lists it as uncharacterized. The record is from RefSeq and is a predicted model, not a curated record. Lineage: Eukaryota; Viridiplantae; Streptophyta; Magnoliopsida; Cucurbitales; Cucurbitaceae.
UUUACCUUUCUAAAAAGGAACGUUACCUUAGUUGCGGCUAGGUUUCUUCCCCGUUCUUUCAGUCUGGCGCCGAGAACAAUGAAUUACAUUAUUUUCUUUGAUCGCUCUCUUCCCAUUAAGUUGAUUGCUGCUCAUCGUCAAAGAAUGGAGUCUGGUUCCGGAAGCAAUUCCCAACUUCGUAAGGAAAUAUUUGUUUCUCAAUGAAGGAAAAUGGUGUUCGUCAGUAAAAUUGUGCUGCCUCUUUGAGGGUAUAUGCUUCUACUCUAGGAGAACCUUCCAGUGCUUAAGUGAUUGAGAGGCACUCAGGAGAAGAUACCUUGGUUUGUUUUAUUGAUAGAAAAUUGUGACAACAUUGAUAUUAGUUAUUAAAAAAUGUCUAUCUAGUUUUUUCCCUUGAAGGUGGAUUGUUAAAUGAGUAUAGUGAUCCAGUUCUUGCUGCUCGCUUGUAAAUAAUCACAUUUGCGUUAUUUAGGCAUAUGUUAGAUUGAUGUGUAUGAGUGACUAUUGUUUGUUUUAUAAUUCAAAAUCUAGCAAGUCGAGGGUGCUUGGGGGAAGAUCAUAUGGUAGCAAUUCAUAAGUGAUAACACACUUUGUGAGCUACAUUUCAUGAGAUUUAUAUUGAAAUUAUUUGUUAGUUUUCGUUUCUUCAAGACAAAUUUAAGCACAUAAGAUAUAUUUUGCAGGAAUAAAGCAUCGGGAGGAAACGAGACAUAUUUGGAUCCAAAUGAGAGAAAAAUAGGAAUCAAAGUGACCAAGAUGGAAUAACAACAAGAUUUGGAGCUAAAAACCCGAGGAGAUAGCGCCACGGCGCUAGCCUAGAGCGUCGCGGCGCUCCGAAGUUUAAAUUUCGCGUUUGUGAAUAGUGUAGUGCCAUGACCCUGUAUAUAGCGCCACAGCGCUGCCGCGACAACUUUUUAUAAAAAUAGGGUUGUGCAGCCGCCGAAAGGGGGGGAGUUUUGAAGAGGUUUUAUGGCAGUUUCCCUUUUUGGCCAAAUUGGAGGGCAAAGAGACCAUUGGAGAGCUUAGAAAAGUGAUUUUCAAGGCUCGGGAUCGUGGAGGUCGCUUUGGGACGGACGAUUGACACGCCGAACAUAGUUUCUUCUCCUUUCCCUUGAUUUUUCUGGUUUUGUUAUGGACUUCUCAUUGUGAUUUUAUUGUUUUCCAUUGAAUAUGACAAGCUAAACCUCUCAUCUUGGGGAUUGAUGUAGCCAUUGAACUUUAUGCAUUGAUUGUUUAGUUUU